UCAAGCAGAUUACAUCUGCGAGUCCUAUUUUCAGGUCGCCGAGCAACCACAGCAAGUUCUUGGACAUUUGGCGCAAUUCUACUCCCGACUGAUACAGGCACACGUUUAACCGACUGCUUUGAACGAGCGGAUAAAUAAUUGCAGCUCACUGAAACCCCACAAUGACCUUUGAUCCGCACCAAGGGAUGCCGGAGAGCAUGUUGAGAUACCGGCUAAAACUGUUGCAAAACAAUGGAUACCACCUCUACUACCCUUAUGGCCGGAAGCUCCCCACACCGUCGGAAUACUUAACCGGAACGCUAAGGGAGCCCUUGUACGAUGGAUGGACGUUCAGGGUGUUUUUCUGCGC
RNAcentral lists this long non-coding RNA (349 nucleotides) under Dermacentor andersoni. RNAcentral's name for it is "uncharacterized LOC126522641". The record is from RNAcentral. Lineage: Eukaryota; Metazoa; Arthropoda; Arachnida; Ixodida; Ixodidae.